Molecule: ribosomal RNA, 454 nt
Filed under: uncultured bacterium
Lineage: Bacteria
Description: bacterial SSU rRNA
Rfam family: Bacterial small subunit ribosomal RNA
Source: RNAcentral
UACGGGAGGGCAGCAGUGGGGGAAUAUUGCACAAGUGGGCGCCAGCCUGAUGCAGCCCAUGCCGCGUGUAUGAAGAAGGGCCUUCGGGUUGUAAAGUUACUUUCAGUCGUGAGGAGGUGUUAAGGUUAAUAACCUUAGCAAUUGACGUUAGCGACAGAACGAAGCACCGGCUAACUCCGUGCCAGCAGCCGCGGUAAUACGGAGGUGCGAGCGUUAAUCGGAAUUACUGGGCUAAAGGGCAACGCAGGCGGUUAAUAAGUUUGGAUGUGAAAUCCCCGGGCUUAACCUGGGAAUGGCAUUCAAGACGUGGUUAGCUUAGAGUCGUUUUGAGAGGGGGUAAGAAGUUCCAUGUGUAGCGGUGAAAUGCGUAGAGGAUGUCGGAGGAAUAACCGGUGGCGAAGGCGGCCCCGUGGACAAAGGAACGUGACGGCGUCAAGUGUACGGCUAAAACGGG